AGCCCCUCUGUUUUCUCCGUUGGCGCAGCAGCCCCGUCGUCUCCGCGCGCUGCCGGCUCGCUGUUUUGUGGAGCCAAUGGACAGCACGCCGUGACGCUCGUCGGGCGUUUGCUGUUUUUGGCACAGACCCGCUCGCGACGUCAUCGACCCUCGGUGAGACAUUCCGCUACCCUUGCUGUUUUUGUGUCCAUGGUGUCGACGAUAUGCCAAGUCCCUAAACUCGUGUAUUAUCGCAGCCACCGUCAAAGUCGCGCUCCGCGCUUGGCCGUUCGACGAAAUGCCAAGCCUUGUGGACAUCCCAUGUGACUAGCCUUGUCGGGGACCAUAAUUAGGGGUACCCUCAAGACGCCUAAUUCUCAGCUGGUAACCCCCAUCAGCAUAAAGCUGCAAAGGCCUGAUGGGUACGAUUAAGUCAGGGAUCAGUCCACACGAGUGACUCGAUCACGCUUCACCCGAGCCUAGCCUCGGCCAAGGGCAGCCGACCUCGAGAGACUUCCGUCUCGCCCGAGGCCCCCCUUUUUACGGUGGACACAUCACCGGCUCGCCCGAGGCCUUGGCUUCGCUCAGAAGCAACCCUGACUAAAUCGCCACACCGACUGACCGAGUUGCAGGAGCAUUUAACGCAAAGAGUGAGUCAGACAGACAGUCAGGCCUUGCCAAAGGCGCCACGGCGAACUCCGCUCCGCCCGACCCCAGGGCUCGGACUCGGGCUAAGACCCGGAAGACGGCGAACUCCGCUCCGCCCGACCCCAGGGCUCGGACUCGGGCUAAGACCCGAAAGACGGCGAACUCCGCUCCGCCCGACCCCAGGGCUCGGACUCGGGCUAAGACCCGGAAGACGGCGAACUCCGCUCCGCCCGACCCCAGGGCUCGGACUCGGGCUAAGACCCAGAAGACGGCGAACUCCGCUCCGCCCGACCCCAGGGCUCGGACUCGGGCUAAGACCCAGAAGACGACGAAACUCCGCCUCGCCCGACCCCAGGGCUCGGACUCCGCCCUGGCCUCGGCCAAACAACCUCCGCCUCGCCCGACCCCAGGGCUCGGACUCGGCCUCGGCAACAGAAGACAGACUCAACCACGGCUUCGGAGGAGCCCCCACGUCACCCCGCCUAGGGCACAGACCCGCCACGUCAACAGGAAGCGUCAUCAUCGUCCUACCCCGAAUCAACUCAGGUCACGGAGAACAAGACCGGCGUCCCAUCCGGCCAGCUCCGCCGGAUGGGCAAUGAUGGCGCUCCACAAGCUCUGUGACGACGGCGGCCCCCAGCUCUCUUACGGAAGCAGGGCGACGUCAGCAAGGACUCGGCCGCUCCAACAGCUGUCCCUUCGCCGGGCUCCGUCGCACCUCCGACAGCCACGACAUCACGCCAGCAAGGUGCCAAGACCUCUCCGGCUGCCACAUUGGCAUGUACCUAGGGCGCUAGCUCUCUCUCCGCUAGACACGUAGCACUCUGCUACACCCCCCAUUGUACACCUGGAUCCUCUCCUUACGACUAUAAAAGGGAGGACCAGGGCCUUCUUAGAGAAGGUUGGCCGCGCGGGACCGAGGACGGGACAGGCGCUCUCUUGGGGCCGCUCGCUUCUCUCACCCGCGUGGACGCUUGUAACCCCCCUACUGCAAGCGCACCCGACCUGGGCGCGGGACGAACACGAAGGCCGCGGGACUUCCACCUCUCUCACGCUCGACUCCGGCCACCUCGCCUCUCCCCCCUUCUCGCUCGCCCACGCGCUCGACCCAUCUGGGCUGGGGCACGCAGCACACUCACUCGUCGGCUUUGGGACCCCCCUGUCUCGAAACGCCGACAGUUGGCGCGCCAGGUAGGGGCCUGCUGCGUGCUGACGAACAGCUCCCCGUCAAGCUCCAGAUGUGCAAUCUCCAGCAACCUCUCCGGCCUGGGGCGGUGCUUCGUUUCGGGACUCUUGAGUUCAUGUCCUUCGACGGCAGCUACGACAUGAUACUUCUUCCACCGCCGCGCGACAACGACGAUGGCGGCCGACAACCCGCUCGCCGGCGGCGGAAUCGACGACACCUUCCCCGCGUGGUGGAAGAACAACAUUCGAGCUCGCUCCGUUCUCUCCCCCGCCAGCGGAGGAGGAGGCGGGGCCAUCAAAGCCAAGCGGGAGGCCGCGCUUCGUUGGCCGUCGAGCGAAUCGACGCCCCCGACGGAAGGCACGCCGGACGUCGACCUCGCGUUCAAGACGAAGGCAAGCGCCGUCCCCCCGCGACACGCUGACCCCGAGCAAGAAGACGACGCCGGCGCGCUCGCGGAAAGCCUGCAGGACGUCGCCCUCGUACCUGAGAUGACGGUGCAACCAGUCCCCGAUGCGACUACGUCGCUCCUUGUCGACCAAAAGGUACCGACUAACUCCCAUCUUACGUCAUUUCGACUCGGCCUCAACCCGCCAAACGACCUCGCUUUGGCGGGCGCUCUCAUUGAGGCGAGUGCAACCCCACUGGGGUUUCAUAUAUGGUCACCUUGGGACCGGCUGACGGACGUCUCGACCUACGGGCCCUCUGGGUCCGAGGAAGAUGACGACCCCAGCGUCUGUUGGGAUUUCUCCGGACUUGGCAACCCCAGUGCCAUGCGGGACUUCAUGACCGCAUGUGACUACUGCCUAUCCGACUGUUCCGACGGAAGCCGCAGCCUUGGCGACGAGAGCUGCGGCCCAAGCCGCGAAUGUUUCCACAUCGAGCUAGGGGAUCCCCCCGAAGGCAACCGUCUCGGCGUGCCGGAGGACGGUGAUCUUCCUAGGCCGGUGCCUCGCGCCGACAUCCCACGGGAGCUAGCUGUGGUCCCCGCUCCGGCGGGGGCUUACGACCCACAACUCGAGCAAGUCCGCGAGGCGCAGGCCAGGCUCAACGAGGGAACAGGAGCGCUUGAGCCGAUCCGUCGGGACGUCGGGCAGGUAUGGGCGGACCAACCCCUGGCCGGAGAAAUACGUCACCUGCCCCAAGGUCUCCAGCACCGCGUCGCCAACGAUGUCAGGGUCAGGCCGCCGCCCGCAUCCAGCGGGGUUGGUCAGAACCUGGCAGCCGCAGCGAUGCUCUUCCGCGCGAUGCCGGAGCCAUCAACCACCGAGGGUCGGCGAAUCCAGGGAGAGCUCAAGAAUCUCCUGGAAGGCGCUGCGGCCCGGCGGGCCGAGAGCACUGCCUCCCGAAGGCAAGGAUAUCCCUCGGAACCUCAUGCCGCGACUUCCCGAUUCAUGCGGGAAGCCUCGGUCUACACCGGGCGCACGCGCAACACCGCGCCUGCGGCCCCGGGCCACCUCGGCAACGAGCACCAUCGACGCGACCGUCGGGCCCACCUCGACGAAAGGGUGCACCGAGGCUACCACCCCAGGCGUGGGGGGCGCUACAACAGCGGGGAGGAUCGGAGUCCCUCGCCCGAACCACCCGGUCCGCAGGCCUUCAGUCGGGCCAUCCGACGGGCGCCAUUCCCGACCCGGUUCCGACCCCCGACUACUAUCACGAAGUACUCGGGGGAAACGAGACCGGAACUGUGGCUCGCGGACUACCGCCUUGCCUACCAACUGGGUGGGACGGACGACGACAACCUCAUCAUCCGUAACCUCCCCCUGUUCCUCUCCGACACUGCUCGCGCCUGGUUGGAGCACCUGCCUCCGGGGCAGAUCUCCAACUGGGACGACUUGAUCCAAGCCUUCGCUGGGAAUUUCCAGGGCACAUACGUGCGCCCCGGGAAUUCCUGGGACCUUCGAAGCUGCCGGCAACAGCCGGGGGAGUCGCUCCGGGACUACAUCCGGCGAUUCUCGAAGCAGCGCACCGAGCUGCCCAACAUCACCGACUCGGAUGUCAUCGGCGCGUUCCUCGCCGGCACCACUUGCCGCGACCUGGUGAGCAAGCUGGGUCGCAAGACCCCCACCAGGGCGAGCGAGCUGAUGGACAUCGCCACCAAGUUCGCCUCUGGCCAGGAGGCGGUCGAGGCUAUCUUCCGAAAGGACAAGCAGCCCCAGGGCCGCCCAUCGGAAGAGGCUCCCGAGGCGUCUACUCCGCGCGGCGCCAAGAAGAAAGGCAAGAAGAAGUCGCAAUCGAAACGCGACGCCGCUGACGCGGACCUUGUCGCCGCCGCCGAGUACAAGAACCCUCGGAAGCCCCCUGGAGGUGUAAACCUCUUCGACAAGAUGCUCAAGGAGCCGUGCCCCUACCAUCAGGGGCCCGUCAAGCACACCCUCGAGGAGUGCAUUAUGCUUCGGCGUCACUUCCACAGGGCCGGGCCACCCGCCGAGGGCGGCAGGGCCCGCGACGACGACAAGAACGAAGAUCACCAAGCAGGAGAGUUCCCCGAGGUCCGCGACUGCUUCAUGAUCUAUGGAGGGCAUGCGGCGAAUGCCUCGGCUCGGCAUCGCAAGCAAGAGCGCCGGGAGGUCUGCUUGGUGAAGGUGGCGGCGCCAGUCUACCUAGACUGGUCCGACAAGCCCAUCACCUUCGACCAGGCCGACCACCCCGACCAUGUGCCGAGCCCGGGGAAAUACCCGCUCGUCGUCGACCCCGUUGUCGGCAAUGUCAGGCUCACCAAGGUCCUGAUGGAUGGGGGCAGCUGCCUCAACAUCAUCUACGCCGAGACCCUCAAGCUCCUGCGCAUCGAUCUGUCCUCCGUCCGAGCAGGCGCUGCGCCCUUCCACGGGAUCAUCCCUGGGAAGCGCGUCCAGCCCCUCGGGCGACUCGACCUCCCCGUCUGUUUCGGGACGCCCUCCAAAUUCUGAAGGGAGACCCUGACGUUCGAGGUGGUCGGGUUCCGAGGAACCUACCACGCCGUACUAGGGAGGCCAUGUUACGCGAAGUUCAUGGCCGUCCCCAACUACACCUACCUGAAGCUCAAGAUGCCGGGCCCCAACGGGGUCAUCACCGUCGGCCCCACGUACAAACACGCGUUCGAAUGCGACGUGGAGUGCGUGGAGUACGCCGAGGCCCUCGCCGAGUCCGAGGCCCUCAUCACCGACCUGGAGAACCUCUCCAAGGAGGUGCCAGACGUGAAGCGCCAUGCCGGCAACUUCGAGCCAGCAGAGACGGUUAAGGCCGUCCCUCUUGACCCCAGUGGCGACACCACCAAGCAGGUCCGGAUCGGUUCCGGGCUCGACCCCAAAUAGGAAGCAGUGCUCGUCGACUUUCUCCGCGCAAACGCCGACGUCUUUGCGUGGAGUCCCUCGGACAUGCCCGGCAUACCGAGGGAUGUCGCCGAGCACUCGCUGGAUAUUCGGGCCAGAGCCCGACCCGUCAGGCAGUCUCUGCGCCGAUUCGACGAGGAGAAGCGCAGAGUGAUUGGCGAAGAGAUCCACAAGCUAAUGGCAGCAGGGUUCAUCAAAGAGGUAUUCCAUCCCGGAUGGCUCGCCAACCCUGUGCUUGUGAGGAAGAAAGGGGGGAAAUGGCGGAUGUGUGUAGACUACACUGGUCUCAACAAAGCAUGUCCGAAGGUUCCCUACCCUCUGCCCCGCAUCGAUCAAAUCGUGGAUUCCACCGCUGGGUGCGAAACCCUGUCCUUCCUCGAUGCCUACUCAGGGUAUCACCAGAUCCGGAUGAAAGAGUCCGACCAGCUCGCGACUUCUUUCAUCACGCGUUCGGCAUGUACUGCUAUGUCACCAUGCCGUUCGGUUUGAGGAAUGCGGGCGCGACGUACCAGCGGUGCAUGAACCAUGUGUUCGGCGAACACAUCGGUCGCACAGUCGAGGCCUACGUCGAUGACAUCGUAGUCAAGACAAGGAAGGCUUCCGACCUCCUCUCCGACCUUGAACUGACAUUCCGAUGUCUCAAGGUGAAAGGAGUCAAGCUCAAUCCUGAGAAGUGUGUCUUCGGGGUGCCCCGAGGCAUGCUCCUAGGGUUCAUCGUCUCCGAGCGAGGCAUUGAAGCCAACCCGGAGAAGAUCGCGGCCAUCACCAGCAUGGGGCCCAUCAAGGACUUAAAAGGUGUACAGAGGGUCAUGGGAUGCCUCGCGGCCCUGAGCCGCUUCAUCUCACGCCUCGGCGAAAGAUGUCUGCCUCUGUACCGCCUCUUAAGGAAGGCCGAGUGUUUCGCUUGGACCCCUGAGGCCGAGGAAGCCCUCGGCAACCUGAAGGCGCUCCUUAUGAAGGCGCCUGUCUUGGUGCCCCCGGCGGAUGGAGAAGCCCUCUUGGUCUACGUCGCCGCGACCACACAGGUGGUUAGCGCCGCGAUUGUGGUCGAGAGGCAAGAGGAAGGGCAUGCAUUGCCCGUUCAGAGGCCGGUCUACUUCGUCAGCGAAGUGCUGUCCGAGACCAAGAUCUGCUACCCACAAGUUCAAAAGCUGCUAUAUGCUGUGAUCCUGACAAGGCGGAAGCUGCGACACUACUUCGAGUCUCAUCCGGUAACUGUGGUGUCAUCCUUCCCCCUGGGGGAGAUCAUCCAGUGCCGAGAGGCCUCGGGCAGGAUCGCAAAGUGGGCGGUGGAAAUCAUGGGCGAAACGAUCUCGUUCGCCCCUCGGAAGGCCAUCAAGUCCUAGGUGUUGGCGGACUUCGUGGCCGAAUGGGUUGACACCCAGUUGCCGACGGCUCCGAUCCAACCGGAGCUCUGGACCAUGUUUUUCGACGGGUCGCUGAUGAAGACAGGAGCCGGCGCGGGCCUGCUCUUCAUCUCGCCCCUUGGAAAGCACCUGCGCUAUGUGCUGCGCCUCCAUUUCCCGGCGUCCAACAAUGUGGCCGAGUACGAAGCUCUGGUCAACGGGUUGCGGAUCGCCAUCGAGCUAGGGGUCAGACGCCUCGACGCCCGUGGUGAUUCGCAGCUCGUCAUUGACCAAGUCAUGAAGAACUCCCACUGCCACGACCCGAAGAUGGAGGCCUACUGCGACGAGGUUCGGCGCCUGGAAGACAAGUUCUUCGGGCUCGAGCUCAACCACAUCGCUCGGCGCUACAACGAAACUGCAAACGAGCUGGCUAAAAUAGCCUCGGGGCGAACGACGGUCCCCCCAGACGUCUUCUCCCGGGAUCUGCAUCGACCCUCUGUCAAGAUCGACGACGUGCCCGAGCCCGAGGCACCCUCGGCUCAAGCCGAGGCGCCCUCAGCUCGGCCCGAGGCACCCUCGGCUCAGCCCGAGGUACCCUUGGCCCCCGAGGGCGAGGCACUGGACAUCGAGGAAGAGUAGAGCGGGGCCACGCCUAAUCGAGAUUGGCAGGCCCCGUACCUGCAAUAUCUCCGUCGAGGAGAGCUACCCCCGACCAAGUCGAGGCUCGGCGGGUAGCGCGACGCGCCAAGUCGUUCGUCUUGCUGGGCGAUGAAGAGGAGCUCUACCAUCGCAGCCCCUCGGGCAUCCUCCAGCGAUGCAUCUCCAUCGUCGAAGGUCGGGAACUGCUGCAAGAAAUACACUCGGGGGCUUGCGGCCACCACGCGGCGCCCCGAGCCCUUGUCGGGAAUGCUUUCCGGCAAGGCUUCUACUGGCCAACGGCGGUGGCUGACGCCACUAGAAUUGUCCGCACCUGCGAAGGGUGCCAAUUCUAUGCGAAGCAGACCCACCUGCCCGCUCAGGCUCUGCAGACGAUGCCCAUCACCUGGCCCUUCGCCGUAUGGGGUCUGGACCUCAUCGGUCCCUUGCAGAAGGCGCCCGGGGGCUACACGCACCUGCUGGUCGCCAUCGACAAAUUCUCCAAGUGGAUCGAGGUCCGACCUCUGAACAGCAUCAGGUCCGAGCAGGCGGUGGUGUUCUUCACCAACAUCAUCCAUCACUUCGGGGUCCCGAACUCCAUCAUCACCGACAACGGCACCCAGUUCACAGGCAAAAAAUUCUUGGAUUUUUGCGAGGAUCACCAUAUCCGGGUGGACUGGGCCGCCGUGGCUCAUCCCAUGUCGAAUGGGCAAGUAGAGCGUGCCAACGGCAUGAUUCUACAAGGGCUCAAGCCUCGGAUCUACAACGACCUCAACAAGUUCGGCAAGCGGUGGAUGAAGGAACUCCCCUCGGUGGUCUGGAGCCUAAGGACGACGCCGAGUCGCGCCACGGGUUUCACGCCGUUUUUCCCGGUCUACGGGGCUGAAGCUAUCUUGCCCACUGACCUGGAAUACGGCUCCCCGAGGACGAGGGCCUACACCGAUCAAAGCAACCAAGCUAGCCGAGAAGAAUCGCUGGACCAACCGGAGAAGGCUCGGGACAGGGCCUUACUACACUCGGCGCGGUACCAGCAGUCCCUGCGACGCUACCACGCCCGAGGGGUCCGGUCCCGAGACCUCCAGGUGGGCGAUCUAGUGCUUCGGCUGCGGCAAGACGCCCGAGGGAGGCACAAGCUCACGCCCCCCUGGGAAGGGCCAUUCGUCAUCGCCAAAGUUCUGAAGCCCGGAACAUACAAGCUGGCCAACAAUCAAGGCGAGAUCUACGGCAACGCCUAGAACAUCAAACAGCUACGUCGCUUCUACCCUUAAGAUGUUUCCAAGUUGUUCAUAUACCUCGCACCUACGCAAAGUUUAGUCGUCAAGGAAGGGUCGGCCUAGCCCCGGCAAAGCCCGACCCUCCCUCGGGGGCUAAAAGGGGAGAGAUCCCCUCUGCGUCGAAUUUUUCCUCGAAAAAGGAUCUCUUUCUAGCAGGAUUACUUUCGUGCUUCUUGACUACUUCGGAAAGCAGAUCCUGGAAAUGACGGGGUACACGUAAGCAGCCAAGGCUGACCGAGCCGAGGGAUUCCCACGCCUCUGGGAUACGGAUACCUCACUCGUCCCUUCCGCGAGAAGCAACUCUCGCUCACACAAACAUCCCUGUUACCGACAGAGUCCAGAUGCUUGAAACAAGAGGAAAAAAGACGCAGCUUCGCAAGCACGGCGAGGGUGUGUUUUCUGGCCUCGGCGGCCGCAGAAGGCACACGCUACAAGACGAUCUGAUCCUGCAGGCUCGGGUCUUCACGCUGAAGGGAGGCGACGGCACCCUCGGCAUCGACGACGUCUUCAGCUAUGUCCGACCCAGCCUCGGACGGCGGCGCGGUCCAGGGACCCCUCCGGGAAUCCGGCCCGAGCAGGCGGCUCGGCCGGUUACCCCUGGGGACUCGGCCAACCGGCUUCCAAGGGCGCCAGCCCGACCCGAGGCCUCGGCGGAUCGACUUUGGCGUCGGCUCCGCUGACGGACAACACGACUAGGCUUCGGCCAACCAGGUUCCCAUUCUCGAGCCAACUCCGCCUCUGUUCAUACUGAUAUCGCUACCCCUGGCCUCGGCUCAUCGAAGGGCAGCCGAGGGGUCUCUUUGACUAAGCUAGAGGAGCCCCAGACGACAAGGCCGAACGGGCCGAGGGAUUCCUACGCCUCCGGGAUACGGAUACCUCACUCGUCACCUUGACACGGGGCGACUCAUGCUUGGUAAAGCGGUUCAGAUAACCAACAGGCGAGACUUAGUGCUCGAGAAUGAGGAAAAAACACGGCUCCGUGCCGAAAUUACAUACAUGUUCAGGCCCCGACAGCCACAAUGAACAAACACACUGGCAUUCGAAGUGCCAUUACGUACGGAACUCCGGUUCCCCCUCCGCGGGUACGAACGACCCCACUCCAUGGGGAAGGCCUGCGGAGCAGCAGAAGACUGACGAGCGGCUCGCCGCCGCCCGUUCUGACUACGGCGACAGUGGGCUGGCGCUGCUGCGAUCUUGCUCUCGCCCUCGCCGAUGCUCGAGGGGCGAGGACAAGCACGCCGGCGCGGUGGCCCGGGGCGCGGGUGGUGGCCGUGAUCCCGUCGGCGACGAGGACUUCCCGAGCCGCCUCCGCCUCGGCGCCGAUGGCAGGGGACACCAGCCCCCCGGCAGAUCCCCACUCGAAUCCUCCCAGGCGAGUGGGGCACCGGCCUCUGCGCGAGGGCGCCGUCCCAGUGCAAAAGCAGGACCACCCCAGAACACGAACGCCGCCCUAACAGCGCGCAGCAUCGUGGGCGGUCCUCCCGUGCACACGGCGCGGCGGUCGCCCUCCGGCAGGAGGGGCCGCCGGAAGCCCGGCCGACGACUUCGACACGCUGGAGGUGACGACGCCCGCCGUCGAUCAGCCCCACGUUGUCUAAGUCCGCGCCGUCCGCAGGGCCAGCGAGCGCCUCUACCCCCAAACGCCGCGGAAAAGGGCGACCCGCGGACCCGCGCGGAAGGCAGAGCGCCGGCUCAGCGUGGCCCCCACCCCAGCGAGGAUGAUGAACAUCCUUGAAGCUGAGGGUGGGACCAAGAUCGUAGCCCGGCUUGCUCUUCCCCACCCAGAAACUGGUGGUCACCAUCCUGGGUGAUCGCCGGCGUAGGGGUGCGGCCGGGCCGGCUGAUGAAAAUCCUUGAAGCCGAGCGAUGGCUGAGAGGUACCAACUCCCAUGGGGUUGCGCUCCUCCAACGAGGAGGCGGAAAGGCGGCGGAUAUCCCCCAUCCGGGGGCUUGGAAGAUGGAAAGACAUGACGCAUAAGGGAGGAAGAAGACAUGGUUGCCUUCCGAAAGGAGUCUCCCUCCUUUUAAAGGCAACUCUCCCUACGUGCGCCCCCAGACGCCGCGGGCUGAGUCUUCUCCAACACGCUCCAAGGCCCUCCCCUGCGACUCGGGGGCUGGGUCCCGCAUGUCAUGCAAACCAGCUCAGGGCAGAAGAAGCCAAACCGACGCGCGUGGUGCGCACGACUGUCCAGCGGUUACAAGCGACCCCCCACUUUUGCCCAGACCAACGGGCGGAAGGGGCGGGCAGCCAUGCAGACGGCAUGCAACCGCGCUAGGUGGACGCGCUUCUCCGACUUCUGACACGCCAGCUUGGAAGCCCAGGCCCACGCGUCAAGCAACCGGCGCGCCAGUUGCUGCAUGCAAGCAACCGCACCGCCACUUGCGCCACCGUCGCGCCUCUUCGGUUGCGGAGCCUAUGCCGUGACUCGAGGCGACCCAGCAGCGCUAGCCUGGCGCGUUGGUCAAAGCGACCGAAAGUGGGCCAGCAGUGAUGGCGGUGGCAGGCGGGCGGGCGCAGCAGUCACGUCGUCAGCCAGGCUCACGUCUCAUCCUGGGGCAGCAAGAGAGCCUCCUCCCACGGCGUGAAGACGGUGCGCCCGUGACCUGUUCCCCGAACGAAUCGUGCACGCGCAACGACCGCCUCGCCAACCACUCGCCCCGCCGCAUUAACUCCGCGGCGGGACACGCGGCGCCUCUGGCGGGAGAAGCGUGCGACGCUUCACCUUCGCCGUAAUAACCGCGUCAAAAAGAGGUACGCCACGUCGUUCGAUUUCGUUUCCUUUUCCUUUUUCCUCUUUCUCUAUCUCUUGCAACAGGGACCGGGAAAGGGGGAUACCCCGAAAAGGAUCCUUUUCCGCGAAGGAACCGGGCUCCGAGCCCCCCCUACUGAUCAGGGGUUCGAAGACUGGCCCUCCGAAGGGUUCAACAGUCGCCUCAGAUCGCGUGGGCCCGACACCCACUACUGGUCAGGGGUUCGAAGGCCAGCCCCCCGAAGGGCUCCAUGGCCGCCUCAGGCUACUCGGGCUCCGCGCCCAUUACUGAUCAGGGGUUCGAAGGCUGGCCCCCGAAGGGUUCACAGUCGCCUCAGACACCGAGCGAGGGAUGACCAGGGGUACGUUCUAUACAUAACCGAGGCUCGGGCUGCGCUCCCGAGGUACCCUAGGACAUUUCCGAGACCAGCGGGAACGAUCUUGUAACGGAAUCCCAUUGGAGGGAGGCAUCGAGCCCUCGGACCCCGUCGCCAGGGGACCGGGUCCGGCAAAUCACCCGCAGGUACUUUUGGGCGUGCCUCUGGGCCCCUAGCCGACCCCCAACGAACGGGGCACGGACGCCCACUCGGAUUACCCGCUUGUAGCUCACCGGAGACACCAUGUUCGGUGCCCAUCGAGGGUAACAUGGCGCACUCCCCCCCUCCUCCUUGCGGAAAGGCGACGUAGGGGCGUAUGUAAAAAGUCGAGUCUGUCCCUGAUCGUCCUCUCGCCCUGUGCAGAGGCUCGGGGGCUGCUCUCGCAAAAACCGGCUCCGGCCAAACCGUUGACAGCGUCAACAUACCAGCCCGAGAGCUUGGGCCCCGACCGUGCACCCGGGCUACGGCCAGUUCGCAUGAGGGAACGACCAGACCAGCCGAAGCAUUACGCAAGGUAUUAAGACCUCGAAGGAGUGUAACCACUCCUCCGAGGCCUCGGGGGCUACACCCGGCGGGUGCGCUCGCGCGCACCCACCGGAACAAAAUGCAACCGAGAAAGGCUGGUCCCCUUGCAAAAAAGUGCGACGAAAGCCUCCAAGCGAGUGCUAACACUCCCUUCGAGGCUCGGGGGCUACUGUCGGGGACCAUAAUUAGGGGUACCCUCAAGACGCCUAAUUCUCAGCUGGUAACCCCCAUCAGCAUAAAGCUGCAAAGGCCUGAUGUGUACGAUUAAGUCAGGGAUCAGUCCACACGAGUGACUCGAUCACGCUUCACCCGAGCCUAGCCUCGGCCAAGGGCAGCCGACCUCGAGAGACUUCUGUCUCGCCCGAGGCCCCCCUUUUUACAGCGGACACAUCACCGGCUCGCCCGAGGCCUUGGCUUCGCUCAGAAGCAACCCUGACUAAAUCGCCACACCGACUGACCGAGUUGCAGGAGCAUUUAACGCAAAGAGUGAGUCAGACAGACAGUCAGGCCUUGCCAAAGGCGCCACGGCGAACUCCGCUCCGCCCGACCCCAGGGCUCGGACUCGGGCUAAGACCCGGAAGACGGCGAACUCCGCUCCGCCCGACCCCAGGGCUCGGACUCGGGCUAAGACCCGGAAGACGGCGAACUCCGCUCCGCCCGACCCCAGGGCUCGGACUCGGGCUAAGACCCGGAAGACGGCGAACUCCGCUCCGCCCGACCCCAGGGCUCGGACUCGGGCUAAGACCCAGAAGACGGCGAACUCCGCUCCGCCCGACCCCAGGGCUCGGACUCGGGCUAAGACCCAGAAGACGACGAAACUCCGCCUCGCCCGACCCCAGGGCUCGGACUCCGCCCUGGCCUCGGCCAAACAACCUCCGCCUCGCCCGACCCCAGGGCUCGGACUCGGCCUCGGCAACAGAAGACAGACUCAACCACGGCUUCGGAGGAGCCCCCACGUCACCCCGCCUAGGGCACAAACCCGCCACGUCAACAGGAAGCGUCAUCAUCGUCCUACCCCGAAUCAACUCAGGUCACGGAGAACAAGACCGGCGUCCCAUCCGGCCAGCUCCGCCGGAUGGGCAAUGAUGGCGCUCCACAAGCUCUGUGACGACGGCGGCCCCCAGCUCUCUUACGGAAGCAGGGCGACGUCAGCAAGGACUCGGCCGCUCCAACAGCUGUCCCUUCGCCGGGCUCCGUCGCACCUCCGACAGCCACGACAUCACGCCAGCAAGGUGCCAAGACCUCUCCGGCUGCCACAUUGGCAUGUACCUAGGGCGCUAGCUCUCUCUCCGCUAGACACGUAGCACUCUGCUACACCCCCCAUUGUACACCUGGAUCCUCUCCUUACGACUAUAAAAGGGAGGACCAGGGCCUUCUUAGAGAAGGUUGGCCGCGCGGGACCGAGGACGGGACAGGCGCUCUCUUGGGGCCGCUCGCUUCCCUCACCCGCGUGGACGCUUGUAACCCCCCUACUGCAAGCGCACCCGACCUGGGCGCGGGACGAACACGAAGGCCGCAGGACUUCCACCUCUCUCACGCUCGACUCCGGCCACCUCGCCUCUCCCCCCUUCGCGCUCGCCCACGCGCUCGACCCAUCUGGGCUGGGGCACGCAGCACACUCACUCGUCGGCUUUGGGACCCCCCUGUCUCGAAACGCCGACAAGCCUCGAUUCGUCCAGGUUGUUCACUUGGUAUUUUGUGGAUUAAUCUGUUUAAGCUUUGGUCUAUGUUGUGCAUGUGUAAGAAAAUGUAUUUGUAUGGAUUGAAGUUCGUGGCGAAAGAAAAAGAAGUAGAAAAAAACUCGAACGUUUUUAUAUUUCGAUAGGAAUAUAUGCGAUGUAUUGUUUGAUGUGUGCGAUUUGUAGUUUGUAUAAUUAUAUUUUGGUCGAUGUGGUGUACAUUGGUAUUGGAAUAUGUGUGGGUAUAAAAAUGUUUUGGUUAUAUGCCGUAGCAAGGUUGCCUUAACGUUUAGGUAAGCAAACGUGUUGUGUUGUUUAAUGUGAUGAGUAAAUUGGAAAUACAGGGGAUGCGAGGAUUUAAUUAGGACAUGUAUGUACGUGUGUGCCAUGGUGUAUUAUAGUGGUGGUGGCGUGAGAUAUUUGAUUGAGGUGUGCGGGUAUAUACCGUAAUAUGGUUAUACUCGCGACAAAGAAAGAUAUAUACAUUGGGUAACACGACACUUAGGUCGCUGUUGUAUAAUCGAAUAAAGGGUGUAUUAUUGAGCAUGAGUCAAAUGUGGGCUACUAGUGGUACGCUAGGCAGGCGGUGUUCCAAAUAAAUAAAUUGGUUGAUGUGGUAGUUGUCGUACGUGAUUUAUUGUUAAUGAGUAGUUGAGUUACGAGUUAUGCGAGAAUCAUGUUAGAAACUAGUGUGCGGCGUGUAACUAUGUUCGUGUGGUGAAUAAUAGAUAAGGAGGUCUUGUUGGUGUCAUUAGCCAGUGGGAUGAUUCCUAUGGUGCGAUAAUUUUUGAAGGGCAAAGAACAUGCGUAGUGUGUCGAUCAAGUUAACCGAUAGGUUCUGUAAACACGCUUGUGAUGCUUGUAUGUACAUGAUAAGAUCGAUGCCUUGUCGUCGUAGUCUUAGGAAAUUUUCUGAAAUGCACUAGUGCUCCACUGAUGGGUUGAAUAAACUUGAGAUGUAUUACAAUAGCUGUGUGUCGUGCCGGUUAUCUAAAAAUGGCGAAAGGUGGUGUGUGAGGGUAAUUGGGAAAUAGUCACGUCAUUAGCCAACUCAUGUUAAGUAGGAGUCGAUGGCGUAAGUGAUUGUGAUAUAAAUAGAUGUGGUGUCUCGGACUGUGAUAAUAAUAGGCAAGCCGACGUGUAUGUCGUAUGGCGGGCUAUGCCAUUCCUUUGGUUAAUCAACUUGCUAGAUGACUUUAGUUAAGCUUGUAGUCACGGUAAAUUGCUUGUUGUAUUCUAAAUGCGUAUGGUUACGGUCGCGGAUGAAAAGUAUUAGUGCUCAUGUGAUGUCUAAAUUAAAACGCAAAUGGUUGGGUGCUUAUCGGGGAGAAUGCGUCGUUGAUUGGUUGUAGUAGUUUUAGUGCACUAAAUGACUUGAAUAAAAUUUGCAAGUCGACUUGUUGGUUAUAAUUUGAUUGUCUUAACUCAAUUAAAUAGUAAAGCGUUAGAGUAAUUCAAGUCGCUCGAACGCGGCGAUUCUUGAAUUCUAUAGGAGCUGAAAUUUAUUGAUUGUUGUUUUGGACUGCACGUACUGUUUUCGGUGUGCUGUAUGUUUGACGAACUAAAUUGUGUUUUCUGUAGAUAGGUGCUAUAGAAAAGUGGUAGAUAACUUUAUUAUCUUGCUGGUGUUAAAAAUUGACAGGCAUAAGUCUGAUCGUUUAGUAGUUAUGCUUUUUACAAAUUCAGUAACUGAAUCUGUCCGAAUUCUGUACAGAUUUCAGAAACUUCAUUGUUUGCUCAAUUUAAUGUUGCAAUCUGUGCAUGGUCGUUAUAAGAAAGUUGUAGAUGCUUUUCUGAUCUUGCUUGUGUUAAAAUUUCAUAACCACAGGCCUGAUAGUUUAAGAGUUAUGAAUUUUACAAACUGCUUGCUGUGUUCUGUCCACCGUCAGAACAGAUUUCGAAAACUGUAAUGUUUGAUUUAGUUAAACCUGGAAUCACUUCUUGGUGAUUAUAAAAGUUGUGUAGUAUUUUUGCUGAGCUUUCCAAAAAGUCUUGGAUCACUCUUUUUGGUGAUCUAAAGCUUGAGUUAUGAAUGUUUCAAAUAUGAAGACUGAAUCUGUCCAGUUCUGGACAGCAAAGUCUUUUAGUGAUGUUUAUCCUUAGUUAAAUAUUGAAUCACCUUGAGAUGUUUAUAAAUGAUUUGUAGAAAAUUUAAUUAGCUUUCCAGAAAGUCUAAAAUCACUUUGUUUGGAUGUCUGAAUCUUUAGUUGUGAAUUUUUGAAGUUGCAAGUCAGAAUCUGUCCAAAUCUGGACAGAGCUGUUGUAUUAGCACGUUUUGACCUUGCUAAGUGUUGAAUCAUGUUGUGAUGAAAAUACCAAAGUUGUAGAGCACUUUUUAUGCUUUCCAGAAAUUCCUAGUUUGCUAUUUUUGGAUUAAUAUUCGAAAAGUUAUGAUUAAAACAAGUAACUACUGUGCUGCUGUCCUAAAAAUCUGCAUGUGCUCAAUUAAUUGUUAGUUCACCCUUUUGGCUAAAAAUGGUUGGUUAGCACUAAAUUCAUAUAGAAUUACCAUGACUAAGCUUGAGAUAACAUAUGUGUCAUAUUUUUAUACGUUUCUUUCUUUAGUUAAUUGUGAUGUAGUGUUGUGUUGCGUAAAUAUCCAAAAUGUUUCUCGUCUUUUUAGUGGUGUUAAUGUUGUGCGCUCGACGAUAUGUAGUGCGCUAACGCUAGUGUGUGUGGUUACUUGUGAUGUCGUAGUUGUGUGCAUAAAUAAAUAAAAUGGUGUUGUCUUUUUAAAGGUGUUAAUGUUGGACGCCGAUAACGUGUAGGUAACGAAUGCUAGCAUAUGGUGGUCUACGGUGUAUUCCAAAUUAAUGUUUAGUUCGCCUCUGUGUCUUUGUAUAUCUUGUGCUACUUUGUGCUCCUUUCAUUAUAUUCAUACAUACGCAUAUGGCAUCUCAUUUAGGAUCGAGAGAUGACGAUCGUGCAAGUGAUGUGGUGCCAACCACAAGAUGCAGUUGGUGGACGACCUGAAGAAUGAUGGACUUGACCAGUGGAUGCUCGCCAAGCGAGUACCUCCCCCAGCAAACACUAAGUGUUAAAUUAAGGCAAGCCCCAGUUUAUGCAUAACCUGUUAUUUAUACUAUUUUACUACACUUAAUGAUUGUAGGAUUGAAUGUGCACUUAAGUGUAGGAGUUGUUUGAAACCCUAGUUGCAUGAUCUCAGGAACCCUAUUGAGAUGAAUACUAGUAUGCUAGGUCGAGUAGCUGCUUUGCGAAUUAGGGAUCUCGGUAGAAGUCGAGUGAUUUUUCUAGCACUCGCGCGAGGUCAGGAAUUGGUUGUAUCUACUUUCUUAUCAUAAUGAUGAUUGAUUGUGGACCACAAUCCAUGGGGAUUGGUUGUCGACGGGAUAAAAAUUUGAAUAAGGAUUAAGGUGUGGUACCGUGUGUCAAGCGUUUGAACGUACUAAGCACAUGCCGAGAAAUAUGGUAAAUCGGUAAGCCUAGUACCUAAGUGAACCUGGCAGUGGACAUAUCCCCUCACGCGACCUGAGACGUGGUCUCCCAUUCCGGUUAUGGUGGGUACAAGUGCGGUCACUGCACGACGGCAGUCGGGGUCAGUGAGGCAUUGUACGCCAAGGCAGUGAGCCCUGAUCUGCUGACGGGGAAUCGAUGGGGACGGUUGAUGUGUGUGGGGACGGAGUGCCUCGCCACGUCGUGUGUUUAGGUUUACCUUGUAAGGUUUAAAAACUCGAUUCGAAUCGUCUGCUUCUCGCAGCUAAUGAGACUGCUUGAUCCAUGCUGCUACAUUGACUAACAAGUGGAAAUGUGAUGACUUGGCAAAAGUUGUUGAUUGCUAAAUGUUUGAUACCAUGUAUGAUUAGAUAGGUAUACAUUUAGUCUUAAAGGAGUCACACUAAAACUUGAAAAGCUAAAACUUGAUUUUUAGAUUCAGCUAGUGCUUUUGGCAAACCAAACCCCUCAGCCAAAUAGUUGCAUGUCUAGAGGUAGAGGAGUAGACUCCUCACACCGGGUAAGUCUAGCUGAGUAUUAGUAUACUCAGCCUUGUUUGUGGCAUAAUUUUUGCAGGUACUCCUUAGGAUGAUUGGUUGAUAGUGUGACUAGGCCUCCAUCCCUGCCACCGGGAUAGACGGUCGAGUGGGUUACUGCUUCCGCAGGAGAGGACCAGGAGGAGUAGCGUGGCCAAGCUUCGCCAUGUUACUCGGGUUUUCUCCGUUAGUUAUUUCCGCUGCAUUAAAAUUUAUGGUUGUUAUUUCUGAAACUCCGAUAAUGUAAUCACUAAUGAUACUUACUAUAUUUGUGGUAUUAUGUUUUAUUGUAUUUCUCUGUGCCUCACCUUCGUGUGAGCUAGUGGUAUUCGAUCCUGGAUAAGUGGCUUUAUCGGACUAGAUCCGAGGGACUGACGAGUUAUUCAUGUUUAAGUGUGUUGCUGCCCUUAAGGGUGUGACUCGGGCACUUAAGCUGGAAUAAUUCGGGCGGUUCCGCCACAGCUGGUAUCGGAGCGAAUACCAGUACGGAGAAGUCAAUAAGUCAUAAUUUCCAACCUUUUCUAAAGUAAAACUUGCUAGAAACUAAGGUUGGAUAGAUCGUCAGGGCGAUAAGGAUAGACCUAGGAUGUGAAGCCUUAGGAAAUAGAUGGGUAGCUAGGUGGCUAGUUAUAUAGGCCGUAAAGGCUACUACUAUUAAUUAGGAUGCUGUAGAAGCACCCGAAAAAUUAGUUAGGUCUGAGAAGAUGACUAGAAUGAGCAUGCAUCAUGAUUCUCGCAUUAUAAUUGUCUCUUAUGCAUCAACAUGCUUCUCUCACCUUUAUUCCAAUAAUAAGAAAUUGUGAAUAAUGUGCUGUAUUGCUAUGAACUGCAAAACAUGCCUUACCUCGUGUCAGAUUGGUAAGUCUUUUAGGUCGUGUUGUGUGUUUCUCUUGCCUUGCUAUCUAGGUGGUAUUGAAAUUGUUCAACCCUUUUUGCAAAAAAAUGUUGUUUGUUUCCUCAUAAAAAGACACCCCCACUUUAAACAACCUAGUGGUUAGCAAGUGAAACCCUUAAAAAAAAUCCUGCUUGUGUUGGUAUUUUCUAGCCCUUGUGUGUUGCACUAUUGAAUUUACACCUGCACAGCUUAGAGAACCCCAUAGCUUGACCACUAGACCAACCCAAGUCCCCUUGUGCACUCGUUGUGUCAAAAAAAAUUUGUUGUUGGUGUCUAGUUGCGCAAACCCUAUCAAAGCCAUGUUUCUUUCCGUAAAUCCUUAAUCUAAAACUUCAUAGCAUUUCUGUUAAUCAUCCUAGCUGAUCUUGUUGCCUACCUCUCCUUUCGCAUGGAUCUGGUGAUCUCCUUCCUUGUGAAUCAUGUUGUGGCUUUAUCAUCCGAAUCUCUGGAUCCUUUAAUGAUUCUGCCCUAUUAUCUUGUUAUCUGCUAUAACCUGUUCUCAAGUAUCAGAUGUUAAUUUACCUAAAUCUCUCAUUUCUAGUCUUUCUGAUGCUCAUUCUCUAGGCAUCAUGAUGUUGUUUUAUCGAUUUUAUCUAUAGACAGUGUAUCCAUUUGGUUCAAUGAUGUUGUUGUUAUCUUUAGUUCUCUCAUGUCUCUAAAAACUCAAUGAUCUUGAUCUCAUGGUUAGUUACUCCUCAUACCAAAUCUCGUGCUAAUACCUGAUCUGAUAAUCUCCAUGUUGAUCGUAAAAUAGUUCUCUGAGUUAAAAAAAUUAUCAUGUGAUGCUCUUUUGCCAACAAUCUUUGCUUCAACUUUAGUCAUAUUUUCUGAGCCAUACUCUCCUAGGCUCCAUCUAUUUAUGCUAUGUGGAAUUCUCAUUGGUUACGUUUGGUAAUGGUGUUAUGACUAACGACCGAUGGUGCCGCAACGAAACCGAGAGCCUACUAUGGUGCACACAUGGUUGAGCUGCUCGGCACGCGCUGGUAUCGUGGUUAAUAGUCGUGAUCCAUUAUAAGACUAUACUGAUGUGCUGUCUUUUAUGGAUAUUCUCUCAAAGUGAUCGCUGCAUUUUGUCUCAAUAUGUCACGAUGUUCUACCCAAAUCUAUUUCCAGUAUCUUGUCAGAUCUCAUCUCAUGAAUUUGCAUCUAUCUUCAGUCUGGGAGUUACAUGCUUCACCACCCUUAAAGAUCCUCAUUCGAAUCUCGGGACGAGAUUCUUUUAAGGGGGGAAGGCUGUGACAUCCCAGGUGUUAGUUUCGUGUUACGUCGGGAGAUUUAUCCUAAUCUCGGAUGCUCAGUGAAAAUUUCUAUUUCUCGCUCGCGUAUGUGUCUGAUUAUCCAAAUUCUCAUUCACAUCUCACCAAAUUCGGAGUUAUUCAGUCUCACAGAAGACCGAAUUUGGAGCCUGUUAAAACUUCUAUUCUCGGAACGUAUGCAAACUCGAUAGUCAACCUCGAAUUAUAAAUCUCAUCUGAAGCUCUUUAAAUCAAACUCUCGACGACUGUUAUCUGAUAUGAGCCCAAAUCUAGUUCCUCGAACUUCGAUCUAUGUUCGACUAUUUUAUCCGGGUCCGUAUUCUCCAACGGGAUACUCAGUACGUCGCCCUCUAAUUAAUUCUUAUCCGACUCGACUUCAUACCUCUGUGUUCGAUCCCGAUUUAAAAAUCAACAUCGACGAUAAUUUUAAAUGUCACGAUUUGUCUCUUUCAAUCAUAAAUCCGAAAGCCGGUCGUAUCUCGGGACGAUUUAUUUUCGAAUCACGCGUAGGGAAUUAUUUGCGAGAGAAAUCAAAUCAGACUCUCGGCCGAGUUAAUCGCUCAAUCGUCCGUUCGUCCGAACUCUAUUUCACUCUGUUCUCCGUUGAGACGAAUCCCGCAAGAGCAUUUUUAUUCCGGAAAUUAUUUAGCGUAGCCCGAUUGAGUAUUUUGGGCUAGCCCAGCCCAGCCCACUAAGAAACCCUAACCCUAGCGAUUUUCUAUAAAUAGAGGUGCUCCUUCUUUGCUUGGCUUUUAUUCACCUACACCCCUAGCCGCCACUUUCUUUCUCCCUAUCCUCCUCUCGGUGCGCGCCCCUGCGAACCUCCCCAGCAGGCCGACCUCUCCUUGCUCCAUGCCGACGCCCCUGCUGCUAGCUCUGCACCCAUGGCGAGCAGCCCCCCUGCAGCGAGCUCCUCCCUUGCAUUGUCGUCGGACGUCGCUGCUACUACCUUGCUCCCUCGUCGCGCAGCGAGCUCCACCGCCGACCUGCGCAGCAAGCCGUGCGCUGCAGCAGCACCGUUCUUCGCCUUGCGUCGUCGUCGAGCUUCGCCACUCUCCUCCCCAUGACCAGCAGCCCUCUCACACUCUACCCUCCCCCAAAACAGCAAGCCCCCAGCAGCCCCGGAUUCCCUCGGUGUCGCUUGCAUGCCACCCGCUCGAUGUAUUGCGCAGCCACAUUGUCGCUGCUCGCUGCCCAUCAACGCGCAGCCCCUCUGUUUUCUCCGUUGGCGCAGCAGCCCCGUCGUCUCCGCGCGCUGCAGGCUCGCUGUUUUGUGGAGCCAAUGGACAGCACGCCGUGACACUCGCCGGGCGUUUGCUGUUUUUGGCACAGACCCGCUCGCGACUUCAUCGACCCUCGGUGAGACAUUCCGCUACCCUUGCUGUUUUUGUGUCCAUGGUGUCGACGAUAUGCCAAGUCCCAAAACUCGUGUAUUAUCGCAGCCACCGUCAAAGUCGCGCUCCGCGCUUGGCCGUUCGACGAAAUGCCAAGCCUUGUGGACAGCCCAUGUGACUAGCCUCGAUUCGUCUAGGUUGUUCACUUGGUAUUUUGUGGAUUAAUCUGUUUAAGCUUUGGUCUAUGUUGUGCAUGUGUAAGAAAAUGUAUUUGUAUGGAUUGAAGUUCGUGGCGAAAGAAAAAGAAGUAGAAAAGAACUCGAACGUUUUUAUAUUUCGAUAGGAAUA
RNAcentral lists this long non-coding RNA (21533 nucleotides) under Zea mays. Its description in RNAcentral is "long non-coding RNA (ZMAY_LNC004730)". The record is from RNAcentral. Lineage: Eukaryota; Viridiplantae; Streptophyta; Magnoliopsida; Poales; Poaceae.